UUUAAAAGUUUUGUGUAUUUGUAGAUUAUGAAUCUCUGGUAACUACUUGUAACAUUUGGCUCUGUUUUCUGUGAAUAUUUAUCCCUAGCUAAAAAAAAUUCUUACAUCUUCAGAAGAGCUAUAAUGUUGACACCUAACUACACUGUAAUACUACACAGUAAUAGGACACUAAGCAGAUAGAUAGGUUUUUAAAAAAUAUUUGUAUUUUCAGCACCUGGUAAUACAGUGGUCUAGUACAUAAUUGUCAAAUCAGUGAAAUAUUGAAUUAUCUUUUUCUUUUUGGUUAGGGCUUUUCCUUUCUUAAUCGAUACCUCAGUUUACGUGGGCCCUGCCAGGAAUCAUUCUACAAUUUGGGCCGUGGCCUUCAUCAGUUGGGGCUGAUUCAUCUUGCAAUCCACUAUUAUCAGAAGGCCCUGGAGCUCCCUCCACUUGUGGUAGAGGGUAUAGAACUUGACCAGUUAGACUUACGAAGAGAUAUUGCCUACAACUUGUCUCUCAUCUAUCAGAGCAGUGGGAAUACCGGAAUGGCUCAAACGCUUUUGUAUAC
Molecule: long non-coding RNA, 547 nt
Filed under: Homo sapiens (human)
Lineage: Eukaryota; Metazoa; Chordata; Mammalia; Primates; Hominidae
Description: non-protein coding lnc-C2orf66-2:1
Source: RNAcentral